GGGGGUGAAAUGGUUUCGACGGGGAUAGUGGAGACUGGAUAAGCGAGCCGAAGCCCCGCGCUUCGUUAAAAGCGGGAAACGUCUAAAUAUAAAAGACAACUAUAACGCACUUCCCGUUGCUGCUUAAAUAGCGCAACGCGUCCGCCUGCAAAGACCUAUCGUUGCAGAUACGGGCGUCAUUUAGGAUAGGGAACGAACCAGCCAAAGCUUUGCGGCUGGCCGGAUCUAUGAAGCUACCGGACCUGUUGCCCCGCCGCCGGGGAAGCAGGAAGGGGAAUACUUGUACGGCGGCUGCGCUCGGAGAAAUUCUGGUUGACAGAUCUUCGGACAGGGGUUCGACUCCCCUCACCUCCACCA
RNAcentral lists this transfer-messenger RNA (357 nucleotides) under Gallintestinimicrobium propionicum. It matches the Rfam family "transfer-messenger RNA". From Rfam's summary of the family: Bacterial tmRNA, also known as 10Sa RNA or SsrA, is named for its dual tRNA and mRNA-like properties. Its role is to liberate the mRNA from a stalled ribosome. The record is from RNAcentral. Lineage: Bacteria; Bacillati; Bacillota; Clostridia; Lachnospirales; Lachnospiraceae. RNAcentral also lists the same sequence under 2 other names.